This is a long non-coding RNA of Brassica oleracea var. oleracea, 422 nucleotides long. RefSeq lists it as uncharacterized. NCBI's taxonomy places the organism in Eukaryota, Viridiplantae, Streptophyta, Magnoliopsida, Brassicales, Brassicaceae. The record is from RefSeq and is a predicted model, not a curated record. The transcript is spliced from 3 exons.
UUUCGUCUUUCUCUCUCUUUUUUCUUAUCUCACGAGAUUUGAUCUCUCUUUUUCGAUCUCGCUAGACCUUCAUCAUCGAUCACACCUUUUUGGUCAUUGAUUUUGGGUUAUCGAUCACAACACAGCAACUCAUCUUCCUUUGCUAAUAGACGAAGGUGAGACGGUUGUUAUUAGAUCGGGUCCAAAUGAUGUGGAAGACAUGAUCACACGUCCACCAAAGGAGUGAAAACAAUGGGCAGACAUAACAAGAGAAGUGAACGAUGAAGUGGCUCGAUUGGAAUUAGAGACUUUUGUUUGUGUUCUAUUAUCAAACAACCAGAGUUCUUGUUAAUGUGUAAUGGUGGAGACUAGAGAGGCAAUCUUGUUUUUCUUGCUAAACAUUUGAUUUUCCGUUAUUUAAAAUAUUUUGAUGAGUUAUAUUA